UUUAAGUUACUGUUAAAAUAACAUGUAUACUAAUUAUGUUUCCUUAAGAUCUUGCCCCAAGCUGAGAGACAAGUUCUAAUUAAUUUUAUGUGUUUUGGAUUACCAAUAGCAAUCAAUUAUUAUAGACUGGACAAUUGAUCUGUCAAAUUAAUUACCACGACGACAAUUUUUAAAUAAAACAUAACUAUUAAAUGAUUUCAAUACAAAUUAAUAUCAAAUCUAUUAAAAUUGAAAAAAA
RNAcentral lists this long non-coding RNA (238 nucleotides) under Mytilus galloprovincialis (Mediterranean mussel). The record is from RNAcentral. Lineage: Eukaryota; Metazoa; Mollusca; Bivalvia; Mytilida; Mytilidae.